This is a long non-coding RNA of Chiroxiphia lanceolata (lance-tailed manakin), 1041 nucleotides long. RefSeq lists it as uncharacterized. The transcript has 3 exons. Lineage: Eukaryota; Metazoa; Chordata; Aves; Passeriformes; Pipridae. The record is from RefSeq and is a predicted model, not a curated record.
GAAAACCAUAUCCACUCUUUUCAACUGGUUGUUUUGUAAAGAAUGUGCUAUGAUGCAUAGGAAUGUGAUCAUAGUAAAGAGUGUACCUGCAGAGAUGUCAUAAGUGUCUUCUCAUGCAGUGCCUGCAUUUCAGAAGGCAGCACUACCAAAGAUAAAGGAGGAAUCUGAAAUAGUUGAGGUGGUAGGAUAUUCUGGCAAUGGACUUUCAAAGAAAAGUAUAUUUUCUCACAAAACUGAAAAUGCCCGUCAUGAAAAUGUCAGUUUAAUGCAAAUUAUGGUGGAAAAGAGAAUUGGAAGUUUUCCUUCCUCUGGUGUAUUCCUGAAGGAUCUCCUGAAGGACUGCAGCGUUGCCAUCACUGCCUGUCUGCUGGAGGGAAGGGAACUUGCAAGAUUUUUUCCCCAAGGCGGAAAUUUCAGCUAUGCUUAGGUGGAGCUUGUAUCUUUUUUUUUCUUUUUCCCUGGAAACUCUUACUGAGAAGAACAGGAAUGAUGUUUCUUUAUAGCAGGAGUGAACAAAUGAAAAGAACAGGAGAGAUUCAGGUUUUUGCCAUGUCUUACAGUGCCUAGGGUACUUGUGAAAAGGCUGUCACAGUGCCAGGGAGAGACAAGUGCUGCCUGAAAGUGACAGUGGAAGUUCUCCUCCGCUCCACCAGUGUUGUUGCCUUCAUUUUUUUUAGGAGCCAUCCAGAGAAUAAAAGCCAUACCUCAGCUAUUACGGCCAUUCAAACAAACCUGACUAUAAAUAUCUCUGCUGGCUCCUAGUAUAGUAUAGUUUUUCCCUGGAAGUGUUUGUUCAAUCAGUAUCUCCUGACUGUCCCCAAGCACUGAUGAGUCAAGUCUCUGUAGAGGAAGGGCUGUUCUCCAGAGAACACUUUCCCACAGAGCUGGAAAUCUUGUGUCUCUUCCCAACUCUCUUAAAGUCUUAUGGUGAGAAUUAUGGUCAUACUCCUCUCCUAGUGUCUUAAAAAGAGUGGCUUGCACCUCUGAAAUCAUCUGAUUGUUGAUGGAGUAACCAGUGUUGGUUAUUGCUGGUACAGGUGU